CCUACGGGUGGCUGCAGUGGGGAAUAUUGCACAAUGGGCGCAAGCCUGAUGCAGCCAUGCCGCGUGUGUGAAGAAGGCCUUCGGGUUGUAAAGCACUUUCAGCGGGGAGGAAGGCGGUGAGGUUAAUAACCUCAUCGAUUGACGUUACCCGCAGAAGAAGCACCGGCUAACACCGUGCCAGCAGCCGCGGUAAUACGGAGGGUGCAAGCGUUAAUCGGAAUUACUGGGCGUAAAGCGCACGCAGGCGGUCUGUCAAGUCGGAUGUGAAAUCCCCGGGCUCAACCUGGGAACUGCAUUCGAAACUGGCAGGCUAGAGUCUUGUAGAGGGGGGUAGAAUUCCAGGUGUAGCGGUGAAAUGCGUAGAGAUCUGGAGGAAUACCGGUGGCGAAGGCGACUCUUUGGUCUGUAACUGACGCUGAGGCGCGAAAGCGUGGGGAGCAAACAGGAUUAGAUACCCUAGUAGUC
This 465-nucleotide ribosomal RNA is filed under the name uncultured Klebsiella sp. RNAcentral's name for it is "bacterial SSU rRNA". It matches the Rfam family "Bacterial small subunit ribosomal RNA", at positions 338 to 795 of the family's 1533-position model. Lineage: Bacteria; Pseudomonadati; Pseudomonadota; Gammaproteobacteria; Enterobacterales; Enterobacteriaceae. The record is from RNAcentral.